Molecule: RNA transcript, 1471 nt
Organism: Morus notabilis
Lineage: Eukaryota; Viridiplantae; Streptophyta; Magnoliopsida; Rosales; Moraceae
Gene name: RING-H2 finger protein ATL7-like
Exons: 5
Source: RefSeq, a predicted model, not a curated record
UGGCAUUUGCCUCUCUCUCCUCCAAGAAAGCUUGCUCUAGCCUUUCUGAAUUUCUUCUUCUUCGUUCUUCUUCCUGAAAUCGACCCAACAACUGUUCCUUUAGCAAGUAAACAGAAAAACUGAAACUUGAAACUGCAAUAUUUGUGUUGGGGGUUUGGAAUUGAGCAUAUUAAUAUAUCGAUAAUAAUAUAGAAUGUCUUACAAUAAUAAUUUAGAUCCGCCUCGUACAAACUCGACACCAACACUUUCAACUAGUGCUUCCAGUUCAAGCUCAAGUCAAGUGAAGGUUUAUCAGUUCUUCAUGUUCUGCGUCCCCAUAUUCUUCACUUUUCUCCUUCUCUUUUUGUUCUAUUUGUUCUAUCUUCGCCCUCGUCGCCUCAACUGGUCCUCUCUUCGCAUGCCAACCUCUUCCACUCUCAAUUUCGACCACUUUCUUCCCACGAUUGAGUCGUCGGGGUUGAACAAGGAGUUGCGAGAGAUGCUUCCCAUUAUUGUCUACAAGGAGAGCUUCUCUGUCAGAGAUACCCAAUGUUCAGUGUGCCUCGGAGACUAUGAAGCAGAUGACAGGCUUCAACAAAUACCUGCGUGCGGCCAUACAUUUCACAUUGAUUGCAUUGAUCACUGGCUUGCCACCCACACCACCUGCCCGCUCUGCCGCCUAUCCCUGCUUUCCUAUGCUAAAUCUCCAGCUGAAUCGUCUAAUAUACAGGUUGGAAAUACACUAGGGCCUUCUGUUGCGGAGAAUGACGGUGAAUCAUCUCUUCAACAGAGUCCUGAGCCGUGUGAACAAGUCGCCGAGUUGAGGACCAGGGAUGCAAUGCACAACAGCGGUGAAGAAAAUGCGGGAAGAUCUCAUUGUGUUGAUUGUGAGAGAGAACAAUCGGAGUGCAAGGGACAAGCCAUUAAUGCAUAGCAUCCUGGUGAGUUUUGGGGUAAUCUGCUGUUUGUAUAUACUACUUGCACAGAUACUGAUGAAUGAUAGGAUUAAAGUUGUGAAAAUUAGAUGAAGUUUCUUAGCUUUUCCUAGUCCCAAAUCUUCUUAUUAAAAGUGGGGGAGAAGAUUUGUUUCUUGGUUAUAAGAGCCGUUCAUGGGACUUUUUGUUUCUCUUUUGAUUGUUGUGGAAAACGUUAAUAAUGGAUGGGGAUCAAAAUCACACCUUACUGUUGUACGAUGAAAAUAAGCUUGUCAUAUAUUAAGAUUUGAAUGACGAUGGGAGUGCGGAACACGAGGACUGGUUGUUUGCCAGGUAAGAUAUAGACUCCUGAAGACCAAUCAGAACAGCAAGUUAGAGUUGGUUAAUUUUCUGCUGGGGAGAAUCCUCACGGCUAUUUCGAGUUUGCUGGAGUGAGAAACUGCACAGGUUUGGGAACUCUUGAUAGGGAGAGCUUCAUUAACUCUGAGGGUGUGCAAGAAAUGGUGUGUCCCGAACAUCGUUAAAUUGUUGACAGCAACUGACUGGUAGGGUCCACU